Molecule: ribosomal RNA, 459 nt
Filed under: uncultured bacterium
Lineage: Bacteria
Description: partial 16S ribosomal RNA
Rfam family: Bacterial small subunit ribosomal RNA
Source: RNAcentral
CCUACGGGUGGCAGCAGUGAGGAAUAUUGGUCAAUGGCCGGAAGGCUGAACCAGCCAAGUCGCGUGAGGGACGACUGCCCUAUGGGUUGUAAACCUCUUUUAUAAGGGAAGAAUAAAUGCUACGUGUAGCAUGAUGCCUGUACCUUAUGAAUAAGCAUCGGCUAACUCCGUGCCAGCAGCCGCGGUAAUACGGAGGAUGCGAGCGUUAUCCGGAUUUAUUGGGUUUAACGGGUGCGUAGGCGGGCUUUUAAGUCAGCGGUAAAAAUUCGGGGCUCAACCCCGUCCGGCCGUUGAAACUGGGGGCCUUGAGUGGGCGAGAAGAAGGCGGAAUGCGUGGUGUAGCGGUGAAAUGCAUAGAUAUCACGCAGAACCCCGAUUGCGAAGGCAGCCUUCCGGCGCCCUACUGACGCUGAGGCACGAAAGUGCGGGGAUCGAACAGGAUUAGAUACCCGUGUAGUC